Molecule: ribosomal RNA, 445 nt
Filed under: uncultured bacterium
Lineage: Bacteria
Description: bacterial SSU rRNA
Rfam family: Bacterial small subunit ribosomal RNA
Source: RNAcentral
AGAGCUCCAUGCGUGGGAGAUUGAAGGUACCUGACGAAUAAGCCACGGCUAACUACGUGCCAGCAGCCGCGGUAAUACGUAGGUGGCGAGCGUUGUCCGGAUUUAUUGGGUUUAAAGGGUGCGUAGGCGGCCUUGUAAGUCAGUUCUGAAAUAUCCCGGCUUAACCGGGAGGGUGGGAUUGAUACUGAUGGGCUUGAGUGGAAUCGAGGUAGGCGGAAUUGACGGUGUAGCGGUGAAAUGCUUAGAUAUCGUCAAGAACACCGAUAGUGUAGACAGCUUACUAGACUCAAACUGACGCUGAGGCACGAAAGUGUGGGGAUCAAACAGGAUUAGAUACCCUGGUAGUCCACACUGUAAACGUUGAUUACUCGCUGUGUGCGAUAUACAGUACGCGGCUUAGCGAAAGCGAUAAGUAAUCCACCUGGGGAGUACGCCGGCAACGGUG